Molecule: ribosomal RNA, 681 nt
Filed under: Triticum aestivum (bread wheat)
Lineage: Eukaryota; Viridiplantae; Streptophyta; Magnoliopsida; Poales; Poaceae
Description: partial small subunit ribosomal RNA
Source: RNAcentral
AUGCCGCCAUGGCCUCGUACUCGUCUCCCUCUCCUUGCAGAAAGCCUCGCAGAGGAAGCUCCUGGUGUGGGACCCCAUAACCGGCGACCAGCACCUCCUGGACAUUCCUCCAGGGUUCCACAUCGAGUCAAUCAGUGCGGCGGUACUUCGUUAUUUGUGAUGGUUGGGGGUUCCUUUUAUUGGUUGCUUUAUGGUUAUGGGAAUUCGCAACAAAUCCUUGAAUUUGAUUUGGAUAAGCGGAGCCUAGCUUUCAUACCCAUGCCAGUGAGUGACAUUGGAGACAUGAGAGAUGGCAAUAUUUGGGUUAUGCCGGCAGAGGGUGGUGGCCUUGGUUUACUCUUUCUGAGAGGCAUUUGUGCCCAAUUAUGGAAGAGGAAGACCGAUUGCAAGGGUGUUGCCUCAUGGGUGCUGGGAAAAACUGUUGAAUUGGACAAGCUACUUUCCCUGAAUUCAGAGAAGCAGAGAGAGCGCCCAAGGAUACUCGGGUUUGCUGAGGACAAUAAUGUGGUGUUAUUGUGGACAUCUGUCGGCGUCUUCACGGUCCAGUUUGAAUCAUUGCAGAUCAAGAAAGUUUUCGAAUCCAGCACCUGGUAUCUCUAUUUUCCAUUCGAAGGUGUCUAUACUGCAGACGGGUGCAUUGGUGGUGGACCCUCUGGAGCUAAACUUUUGUACAAUACAUAA